CAAUAGCGUAUAUUAAAGUUGUUGCAGUUAAAAAGCUCGUAGUUGGAUUUCUGGCCGAGUGUCCCUAGGCCAGCAUGACGUUUGGUCCUAGGCGCUCUGCCAUCCUUCUGUCAACCUUCGCCUUCUUCAUUGGGGGCGCUGGGGCUCAGAUAUUUUACCUUGAGAAAAUUAGAGUGUUUCAGGCAGGCUUUCGCCGGAAUACAUUAGCAUGGAAUAAUAGAAUAGGACUACGGUCUCGUUGUUGGUUUGAGGGACUGGAGUAAUGAUUAAUAGGGAUAGUUGGGGGCAUUAGUAUUUAAUUGUCAGAGGUGAAAUUCUCAGAUUAACUAAAGACUAACUUAUGCGAAAGCAUUUGCCAAGGAUGUUUUCACUGAUCAAGAACGAAAGUUAGGGGAUCGAAGACGAUCAGAUACCAU
Molecule: ribosomal RNA, 416 nt
Filed under: uncultured eukaryote
Lineage: Eukaryota
Description: bacterial SSU rRNA
Rfam family: Eukaryotic small subunit ribosomal RNA
Source: RNAcentral